This is a long non-coding RNA of Limanda limanda (common dab), 439 nucleotides long. RefSeq lists it as uncharacterized. The record is from RefSeq and is a predicted model, not a curated record. Lineage: Eukaryota; Metazoa; Chordata; Actinopteri; Pleuronectiformes; Pleuronectidae. The transcript has 3 exons.
CACACACACAAAGAGGAGUUAGGCUGAGACGCUGAAAGUCCGGAUUUAAAGUGCAGAAAAUUAAGCCAUUGAAUCUGCCUGUCCAUGACGUAGUAAGACACACUAUGAGCCAGUAUGAUCCGACCAGACCUUACAUCAGCAUUGAGGAGUUGUCGGAGAAGAAAGAGGCUGAUUGAAGCGGGACAGAUGACAUGGAUCCAUCCUUCCACAGCCAGGAGCGCACCGACCUGUGUCCCACACUUCAUAUAAGACUGGAAGCUACACUGAUCUCACAGCUACACACCACAGACGUCUACACACUGGAGAAGAUUCAGACAGAGUCCCACAAAGAAGUCAUGACCCAGAGGCUGCAGAGAAACAUUUCAAGCCUCACCUGAGUUUUUGUACAAUAUAUUUGCUGUAUGUAAAUAAAGCUUUGACUCCACAUAUACCUUGUUCA